Molecule: ribosomal RNA, 803 nt
Rfam family: 5.8S ribosomal RNA (bases 228-382)
CCACACCUAAAAAACUUUCACGUGAACCGUUUCACCCAAUAGUUGGGGGUCUUAUUUGGCGGCCGCUGCUGGCUUAAUUGUUGGCGGCUGCUGCUGAAUGAGCCCUAUCAAAAAAAAGGCGAACGUUUGGGCUUCGGCCUGAUUUAGUAGUCUUUUUUUCUUUUAAACCCAUUCCUUAAUACUGAAUAUACUGUGGGGACGAAAGUCUCUGCUUUUAACUAGAUAGCAACUUUCAGCAGUGGAUGUCUAGGCUCGCACAUCGAUGAAGAACGCUGCGAACUGCGAUACGUAAUGCGAAUUGCAGGAUUCAGUGAGUCAUCGAAAUUUUGAACGCAUAUUGCACUUCCGGGUUAGUCCUGGAAGUAUGCCUGUAUCAGUGUCCGUACAUUAAACUUGACUUUCUUCCUUCCGUGUAGUCGGUGGAGGAGAUGUCAGAUGUGAAGUGUCUUGCGAUUGGUCUUCGGACCGGCUGCGAGUCCUUUUAAAUGUACUAAACUGAACUUCUCUUUGCUCGAAAAGUGGUGGCGUUGCUGGUUGUGAAGGCUGCUAUUGUGGCAAAUUGGCGACUGGUUUGUCUGCUGCGGCAUUAAUGGAAGAGUGUUCGAUUCGUGGUAUGGUUGGCUUCGGCUGAACAAUGCACUUAUUGGACGUUUUUCCUGCUGUGGCGUGAUGGACUGGUGAACCAUAGCUCGGUGGCUUGGCUUUUGAAUUGGCUUUGACUGUUGCGAAGUAGGGUGGCAGCUUCGGUUGUCGAGGGGGCGAUCCAUUUGGGAACUUAAUGUGUACUUCGGUAUGCAUCUCAA